CACAUGCAAGUCGAACGGGCGUAGCAAUACGUCAGUGGCAGACGGGUGAGUAACGCGUGGGAACGUACCUUUUGGUUCGGAACAACUGAGGGAAACUUCAGCUAAUACCGGAUAAGCCCUUACGGGGAAAGAUUUAUCGCCGAAAGAUCGGCCCGCGUCUGAUUAGCUAGUUGGUGGGGUAAUGGCCCACCAAGGCGACGAUCAGUAGCUGGUCUGAGAGGAUGAUCAGCCACAUURGGACUGRGACACGGCCCAAACUCCUACGGGAGGCAGCAGUGGGGAAUAUUGGACAAUGGGSGCAASCCUGAUCCAGCCAUGCCGCGUGAGUGAUGAAGGCCCUAGGGUUGUAAAGCUCUUUUGUGCGGGAAGAUAAUGACGGUACCGCAAGAAUAAGCCCCGGCUAACUUCGUGCCAGCAGCCGCGGU
RNAcentral lists this ribosomal RNA (425 nucleotides) under uncultured bacterium. RNAcentral describes it as "bacterial SSU rRNA". It matches the Rfam family "Bacterial small subunit ribosomal RNA", at positions 52 to 521 of the family's 1533-position model. The record is from RNAcentral.